Molecule: ribosomal RNA, 404 nt
Filed under: Fusobacteriota bacterium
Lineage: Bacteria; Fusobacteriati; Fusobacteriota
Description: Fusobacteria bacterium partial 16S ribosomal RNA
Rfam family: Bacterial small subunit ribosomal RNA
Source: RNAcentral
UGGGGAAUAUUGCACAAUGGAGGGAACUCUGAUGCAGCGACGCCGCGUGAGUGAUGAAGGAAUUCGUUUCGUAAAACUCUGUUCUAUGGGAAGAAAAGGACUGUACCAUAGGAGAAAGCUCCGGCUAAAUACGUGCCAGCAGCCGCGGUAAUACGUAUGGAGCGAGCGUUGUCCGGAAUUAUUGGGCGUAAAGGGUGCGCAGGCGGCUUUACAAGUUGGAUGUGAAAUAUUGUGGCUCAACCACAAACGUGCAUCCAAAACUGCAAAGCUCGAGUUAAGGAGAGGUAAGUGGAAUUCCUGGUGUAGCGGUGGAAUGCGUAGAUAUCAGGAGGAAUACCGGUGGCGAAGGCGACUUACGGGACUUAAACUGACGCUCAGGCACGAAAGCGUGGGGGGCAAACAGG